This is a long non-coding RNA of Erpetoichthys calabaricus (reedfish), 420 nucleotides long. RefSeq lists it as uncharacterized. The record is from RefSeq and is a predicted model, not a curated record. NCBI's taxonomy places the organism in Eukaryota, Metazoa, Chordata, Cladistia, Polypteriformes, Polypteridae. The transcript has 3 exons.
AAAAAAUUUAAAUAUAAAAAAAGGACAAAGUCAUCGUACCAAAUACUUCUUCAGCUCUUUGUAGUUUGUGAUGAUGCCAUUGUGAAUGACCACAAAUUCUGGAAAAGACAAAAAAUAAAUGUUUGGUGGUUACUGGUGGUAUACUGGGAGGAAUGGGAAACUUGACACAGUAACCUUGGGGAGGAGGAGGCCUAAGCAUGAAGACCCAAUUGGGGGUCUUGGGGUCCAUAAGAAUAGGCAGCAUGAAUGACAGACUUGAAGACCCUGAGAUAGCAGGAGAACCGGACACUUGGGUUCAAAACCAGUGGUGUACUGGGAGGAAUGGGAAACUUGAACAAGCACAGUGACCCUGCUGGAAGAAAUAUAAGAGUGGAAUUCAAUUCUGUCAGGCAUUCAUGAUGAGGAGGAGGCCUAAGCAUG